AUGUAUGUAUUGUUUGUUUUGCCUGCUCAAAAUGCAAGUAUAGUUGCCAUUUCAGUAUUUCGUAUUCAGAAUCGAGCUGAAGUAUCAAAUCUCUCGUUUACUACAAUGUUGGCACAGGAAGAGUUUGUGGAAGCUUGCAAGAAGGCGACAUCAAGGUCAGACUACUUCCCUCGCUGCCCCGAUGACUAUGCGGAAGUGUACAGCAACCCCUCAAGGAUCAACCGCGAACUAAACUGGACAGCCCAACACAGCCUCAGGAUUGUGUGGACAUGGCAGAAGAAGCACCGGAGCGGCUAUUGGCCACCUCAGGCUAUGAUCAUCGGUUACACAUAA
RNAcentral lists this ribosomal RNA (333 nucleotides) under Triticum aestivum (bread wheat). RNAcentral's name for it is "partial small subunit ribosomal RNA". The record is from RNAcentral. Lineage: Eukaryota; Viridiplantae; Streptophyta; Magnoliopsida; Poales; Poaceae.